AUGUUCGCGCGAUGAACCUUUUGUCGCAGCUGAAGUGUAAAUUAAACAAAGGCAGAAAUAUCAGUAGAAUGUUGUAUUGUCAUAAGUAUCAUUACAAUAACUUAAGCUAGAUUGUUGGUUAUUUAUAUGGGUAAAUUGUCGGUAGGUACAUAAAUAAAAUUGAAUAAAAAUUACACCCUGCCUUAAAAUCUACUAAUCUAAUGUUUUGCCUAUUUUACACAAAAUUAUCAUUAAGAAAAAAAAGAAUAUUACUUAUGCGACAUAAUGUAGUAGUAAUCACUUUAUUGUACACAACAUGGGUUUACAAAAAUAAAUUAGGUACAGUAAUGGAAGUACAAAGGCGAACUUAUCCCUAUAAUGGAUCUCUCCCUAAACUUCGAGUAGAUGAGUGGAAAACUCUAGUCAGGUCAGAUAAACAAACUUACGGGAUGUACAAUAAUUAAUAAAAAUAAUGAAAUAAAAACUGCUAGGACUUACUAAUUAGCCUUGUAUUCCAACGUGUUAAGAUGAACUAGCUCGUCAAGCGACGACUUGUCGAUACAAAGGAAACUAAACUUGCAUAAAUCCUCAACAGUUAUCAUAAGAUAUAACUAAGAAUUAAGAAUAAAUCGAACUUUUAUAUCACAGAUUCUUGACGAUUUCUUUAAUCAAUAUGAUCUAAAUAUGCCUAAUUAUA
Long non-coding RNA from Cydia splendana, 676 nucleotides. RefSeq lists it as uncharacterized. NCBI's taxonomy places the organism in Eukaryota, Metazoa, Arthropoda, Insecta, Lepidoptera, Tortricidae. The record is from RefSeq and is a predicted model, not a curated record. The transcript is spliced from 2 exons.